CGAAAAGACUAAUUUUGUCUUAUAUGUAGAGUAGUUGCGUAGGCAGUCCAAGUGAUGAACUCCCUCAUUCAAAAUCUUCGUUUUCUUCUCCAGGAAGAUAUACCUAUUUCGCCGAUACACAUUUCCUCUGCACAGAGAGCAAACCAUUUCGCCAUGAAAGGAAAAGCUACUCGAGUUUCUAUUCAAAGCAGAGAGCAAACCAUUUCGCCAGACAAGAUAAAGAUACUGCUAAGGUUCCUCUUUAAUCUCUAUCAUGUCUUUGUUAAUCAUACUGUGUGUUUGUGGACGUUAUUUUUACUGAUCCUGCUUCAAUUGAGAAUCAUGAGAUAGGAAUAAAAGAACCCCAUUUUUUUUAAAUGGGCUACCAAAGCUUUUACUAUUAUCUUAUUUAUACUACAAUAUCUGUAAAACUUUGUUGUUUUAUGCUAUGAUUGAGAGAGUAAUUGGUUAUAUAUGAAGAUGGAGAAGGAGCUUCUUGAUAGGGUUAUGCGGUUUGAAAGCCAUAUCAAUACGUUAAAAUCUGAACGUCGACGACUCUGCAUUAGCCUUGGUGAUGUUACUGAGCUUGAUCAAACGAGUGUUGCAUAUAUGAAGCCAAGCUUUAGCAAAGUUAUGGUGAAUCUGUCUGGCAUAAUCCGUGAUUUUGAAGGAUUGACUCAAGACUUCAUCAGUCUGAAGGAAAGCCAACACUCGUUCAACUCAUCUUGUUAAUGCCUAUGUCAAUUCGAUAUCAACCGAUGUCAAAACUUUAAAGCUAGAGUGAUUCAGAAAUUCCAAGAUAUGACACAGGAAGUAAUCAACAUCAAAGCCUCGUUGGAGAAGAAGAUUCCUGCAACAAAUGAGGACAAAUAGAUAGUAGUAUUUCAUUUUAUGAUGAUGAUUAUGAUUCUAUAUAGCCAACAGUUUCUCUCUUAGUAUAUGCUUGAAUGCCAAUCAUCUUGUUGUGGCUAUACAUUUCGUAGUUUUUGUACCUAAGAACUUGUAGAUUUUCUCUACAUAUGUUAUACUUAUGUUUGAUUUCGUUGUUUCA
Salvia splendens (bonfire salvia) is the source of this 1030-nucleotide long non-coding RNA. RefSeq lists it as uncharacterized. The transcript has 2 exons. The record is from RefSeq and is a predicted model, not a curated record. Lineage: Eukaryota; Viridiplantae; Streptophyta; Magnoliopsida; Lamiales; Lamiaceae.